CAGGCUUAACACAUGCAAGUCGAGGGGCAGCAUUUUAGUUUGCUUGCAAACUGAAGAUGGCGACCGGCGCACGGGUGAGUAACACGUAUCCAACCUGCCGAUAACUCCGGAAUAGCCUUUCGAAAGAAAGAUUAAUACCGGAUAGCAUACGAAUAUCGCAUGAUAUUUUUAUUAAAGAAUUUCGGUUAUCGAUGGGGAUGCGUUCCAUUAGUUUGUUGGCGGGGUAACGGCCCACCAAGACAACGAUGGAUAGGGGUUCUGAGAGGAAGGUCCCCCACAUUGGAACUGAGACACGGUCCAAACUCCUACGGGAGGCAGCAGUGAGGAAUAUUGGUCAAUGGGCGAGAGCCUGAACCAGCCAAGUAGCGUGAAGGAUGAAGGCUCUAUGGGUCGUAAACUUCUUUUAUAUGGGAAUAAAGUUUUCCACGUGUGGAAUUUUGUAUGUACCAUAUGAAUAAGGAUCGGCUAACUCCGUGCCAGCAGCCGCGGUAAUACGGAGGAUCCGAGCGUUAUCCGGAUUUAUUGGGUUUAAAGGGAGCGUAGGUGGAUUGUUAAGUCAGUUGUGAAAGUUUGCGGCUCAACCGUAAAAUUGCAGUUGAAACUGGCAGUCUUGAGUACAGUAGAGGUGGGCGGAAUUCGUGGUGUAGCGGUGAAAUGCUUAGAUAUCACGAAGAACUCCGAUUGCGAAGGCAGCUCACUAGACUGUCACUGACACUGAUGCUCGAAAGUGUGGGUAUCAAACAGGAUUAGAUACCCUGGUAGUCCACACAGUAAACGAUGAAUACUCGCUGUUUGCGAUAUACAGUAAGCGGCCAAGCGAAAGCAUUAAGUAUUCCACCUGGGGAGUACGCCGGCAACGGUGAAACUCAAAGGAAUUGACGGGGGCCCGCACAAGCGGAGGAACAUGUGGUUUAAUUCGAUGAUACGCGAGGAACCUUACCCGGGCUUAAAUUGCAACAGAAUAUAUUGGAAACAGUAUAGCCGUAAGGCUGUUGUGAAGGUGCUGCAUGGUUGUCGUCAGCUCGUGCCGUGAGGUGUCGGCUUAAGUGCCAUAACGAGCGCAACCCUUAUCUUUAGUUACUAACAGGUGAUGCUGAGGACUCUAGAGAGACUGCCGUCGUAAGAUGUGAGGAAGGUGGGGAUGACGUCAAAUCAGCACGGCCCUUACGUCCGGGGCUACACACGUGUUACAAUGGGGGGUACAGAAGGCGGCUACCUGGUGACAGGAUGCUAAUCCCAAAAACCUCUCCCAGUUCGGAUCGAAGUCUGCAACCCGACUUCGUGAAGCUGGAUUCGCUAGUAAUCGCGCAUCAGCCAUGGCGCGGUGAAUACGUUCCCGGGCCUUGUACACACCGCCCGUCAAGCCAUGAAAGCCGGGGGUACCUGAAGUACGUAACCGCAAGGAGCGUCCUAGGGUAAAACUGGUAAUUGGGGCUAAGU
RNAcentral lists this ribosomal RNA (1440 nucleotides) under uncultured organism. Its description in RNAcentral is "16S ribosomal RNA". It matches the Rfam family "Bacterial small subunit ribosomal RNA". The record is from RNAcentral.